GAUGAACGCUGGCGGCGUGCCUAAUACAUGCAAGUCGAGCGAGCGGACGAGAAUCUUGUUUCGGUGAGGUGAGUGACGGAUGGGAAAGUACCACGGGGAGAACCACCCUAUAAGACAGGGGUAGCUUAGGGAACCUGUACUGAGGACCGAAAAAAGUUUUGAGCCCCAGGGUUCAAAAGUGAAAGACGGUUUUGCUGGUGCUUAUAUAGGUUUCCGAGCUGCAUUAGCUAGUUGGUAAGGUAAGGGUUAACCAAUGCAACGAUGCAUAGCCGACCUGAGGGAGUGACAGGACCCACUGCAACUGAGAGACGGUCCAGACUCCUACGGGAGGCAGCAGUAGGGAAUUUCCGGCAAUGGGAGAAAGCAUGACGGAGCAACGCGGCGUGAGUGAUCAAGGUAUUCGGAUCGUAAAACUCUGUUAUUAGGGAAGAACAUAUGUGUAAGUCACUGUGCACAACUUGACGGUACCUAAUCAGAAAGCCACGGCUAACUCCGUG
RNAcentral lists this ribosomal RNA (497 nucleotides) under uncultured bacterium. RNAcentral describes it as "partial 16S ribosomal RNA". It matches the Rfam family "Bacterial small subunit ribosomal RNA", at positions 28 to 507 of the family's 1533-position model. The record is from RNAcentral.